UAACAUACCCACGCCUUACCAGGACUAAACAGCGUGGUAAAACAACAGUCCUUCAUACCCACACUGGAGGGUGGUGUGGGAAUACUACUACCG
This 93-nucleotide non-coding RNA is filed under the name unclassified sequences. RNAcentral's name for it is "PhotoRC-II RNA". It matches the Rfam family "PhotoRC-II RNA". The record is from RNAcentral.